CCUACGGGAGGCAGCAGUGGGGAAUCUUAGACAAUGGGCGCAAGCCUGAUCUAGCCAUGCCGCGUGUGUGAUGAAGGCCUUAGGGUCGUAAAGCACUUUCGCCAGAGAUGAUAAUGACAGUAUCUGGUAAAGAAACCCCGGCUAACUCCGUGCCAGCAGCCGCGGUAAUACGGAGGGGGUUAGCGUUGUUCGGAAUUACUGGGCGUAAAGCGUACGUAGGCGGAUCAGAAAGUAUGGGGUGAAAUCCCAGGGCUCAACCCUGGAACUGCCUCAUAAACUCCUGGUCUUGAGUUCGAGAGAGGUGAGUGGAAUUCCAAGUGUAGAGGUGAAAUUCGUAGAUAUUUGGAGGAACACCAGUGGCGAAGGCGGCUCACUGGCUCGAUACUGACGCUGAGGUACGAAAGUGUGGGGAGCAAACAGGAUUAGAUACCCUGGUAGUCCACACCGUAAACGAUGAAUGCCAGUCGUCGGGCAGUAUACUGUUCGGUGACACACCUAACGGAUUAAGCAUUCCGCCUGGGGAGUACGGUCGCAAGAUUAAAACUCAAAKGAAUUGACGG
RNAcentral lists this ribosomal RNA (560 nucleotides) under uncultured Alphaproteobacteria bacterium. Its description in RNAcentral is "bacterial SSU rRNA". It matches the Rfam family "Bacterial small subunit ribosomal RNA", at positions 338 to 916 of the family's 1533-position model. Lineage: Bacteria; Pseudomonadati; Pseudomonadota; Alphaproteobacteria. The record is from RNAcentral.